Molecule: ribosomal RNA, 904 nt
Filed under: uncultured bacterium
Lineage: Bacteria
Description: bacterial SSU rRNA
Rfam family: Bacterial small subunit ribosomal RNA
Source: RNAcentral
AGAGUUUGAUCCUGGCUCAGAGUGAACGCUAGCGGCGUGGUUAAGACAUGCAAGUCGAGCGAUGAAGUCCCUUCGGGGAUGGAAUAGCGGCAAACGGGUGCGUAACACGUGAGCAACCUGCCUUGAAGUGGGGGAUAGCCCGGGGAAACCCGGAUUAAUACCGCAUGUGGUCCCUUCUCGCAUGAGAAGUGGACCAAAGCUUGUAAAGGCGCUUCAAGAGGGGCUCGCGGCCUAUCAGCUUGUUGGUGAGGUAAAGGCUCACCAAGGCGAAGACGGGUAGCUGGUCUGAGAGGAUGAUCAGCCACACUGGGACUGAGAUACGGCCCAGACACCUACGGGUGGCAGCAGUUUCGAAUCAUUCACAAUGGGGGAAACCCUGAUGGUGCAACGCCGCGUGGAGGAUGAAGGCCUUCGGGUUGUAAACUCCUGUCACCAGGGAACAAACAGCCGGUUCGUAGCCGGCUCUGAGUUAACCUGGAGAGGAAGAGGUGGCUAACUCCGUGCCAGCAGCCGCGGUAAUACGGAGACCUCAAGCGUUACUCGGAUUCACUGGGCGUAAAGAGUAUGUAGGCUGUCUGGUAUGUUAGGUGUGAAAGCCCGGGGCUCAACCUCGGAAUUGCGCCUGAAACUACCGGACUCGAGGCCUGGAGAGGGGAGUGGAAUUCCUGGUGUAGCGGUGAAAUGCGUAGAUAUCAGGAGGAACACCAAUGGCGGAGGCAGCUCCCUGGACAGGUUCUGACGCUGAGAUACGAAAGCGUGGGUAGCGAAAGGGAUUAGAUACCCCUGUAGUCCACGCCGUAAACGUUGUACACUAGGCUUCGGAGGGCCUACCCCUUCGGAGCUCCAGCUAACGCGUUAAGUGUACCGCCUGAGGACUACGGCCGCAAGGCUAAAACUCAAAGGA